Molecule: ribosomal RNA, 426 nt
Filed under: uncultured bacterium
Lineage: Bacteria
Description: bacterial SSU rRNA
Rfam family: Bacterial small subunit ribosomal RNA
Source: RNAcentral
GGAGAGUACCCGCAGAAUAAGCAUCGGCUAACUACGUGCCAGCAGCCGCGGUAAUACGUAGGGACAAGCGUUAUCCGGAUUUACUGGGUGUAAAGGGGGCGCAGACGGCAGCGCAAGCCAGGAGUGAAAGCCCGGGGCCAACCCCGGGACUGCUCUUGGAACUGCGCGGCUGGAGUGCAGGAGGGGCAGGCGGAAUUCCUGGUGUAGCGGUGAAAUGCGUAGAUAUCAGGAGGAACACCGGUGGCGAAGGCGGCCUGCUGGACUGCGACUGACGUUGAGGCCCGAAAGCGUGGGGAGCAAACAGGAUUAGAUACCCUGGUAGUCCACGCCGUAAACGAUGAUUACUAGGUGUCGGGGAGCAGAGACUGCCCGGUGCCGCAGCCAACGCAUUAAGUAAUCCACCUGGGGAGUACGUCCGCAAGGAUG